GUGAAAAGCACCCCGGAAGGGGAGUGAAAUAGAACCUGAAACCGUGUGCUUACAAGUAGUCAGAGCCCGUUAAUGGGUGAUGGCGUGCCUUUUGUAGAAUGAACCGGCGAGUUACGAUUUGAUGCAAGGUUAAGCAGUAAAUGUGGAGCCGUAGCGAAAGCGAGUCUGAAUAGGGCGUUUAGUAUUUGGUCGUAGACCCGAAACCAGGUGAUCUACCCUUGGUCAGGUUGAAGUUCAGGUAACACUGAAUGGAGGACCGAACCGACUUACGUUGAAAAGUGAGCGGAUGAACUGAGGGUAGCGGAGAAAUUCCAAUCGAACCUGGAGAUAGCUGGUUCUCUCCGAAAUAGCUUUAGGGCUAGCCUCAAGUGAUGAUUAUUGGAGGUAGAGCACUGUUUGGACGAGGGGCCCCUCUCGGGUUACCGAAUUCAGACAAACUCCGAAUGCCAAUUAAUUUAACUUGGGAGUCAGAACA
Molecule: ribosomal RNA, 475 nt
Filed under: Staphylococcus aureus
Lineage: Bacteria; Bacillati; Bacillota; Bacilli; Caryophanales; Staphylococcaceae
Description: partial 23S ribosomal RNA
Rfam family: Bacterial large subunit ribosomal RNA
Source: RNAcentral